CACUAUUCUCUUUUUCAUACAACCCCCUGCCAGAGCUAACCUCUGCUGCAGUGCAGCAACACUGAUUGUUGAGCAAGGAAAUCCAAGAAAAGCAGAAGGUACCCGGGCGGCUUUCAGAGCUAAAAUUUUCUCGGAAGAGCAGUGAGAAGAGAGGACUGAAAAAUAGAUGAAGAAGAAAAUUUGGGUACAAUGUGGAAAAUAAACCUAACAAAGGCAGGCCAGGAAGCUUCCUCCAGCCAGAAAGAAUGUGAGAUCACAGCCUACCUGCCUCCCUCCCAAAACUUGGUAAGGUAUCAGAGCUGAGAAGAUCACUGCUGGUGACAGGUGCUUGAUUCAGCACAUCAUGAAAGCCUAGAAGACUCAGGGAAGUGACUCAAAGUCCCAAGAAAGAAGUUAUACUGAUGAAAGAACCACUUAAGGGAAUACAGACAGCUCUG
This 437-nucleotide long non-coding RNA is filed under the name Cyanistes caeruleus (blue tit). RNAcentral's name for it is "lncRNA (ENSCCEG00000018541.1)". Lineage: Eukaryota; Metazoa; Chordata; Aves; Passeriformes; Paridae. The record is from RNAcentral.